AGAGUAGAUUUGAGCCAGGGAUGACUUGCCGGCAUCCUGCCUGAAAAGCAAGGGAUGUUGUCUUGCUGGCAGGUUGUCCUUGGUUCAUGUUUGCUCUCU
This 99-nucleotide microRNA precursor is filed under the name Trifolium pratense (red clover). The record is from RNAcentral. Lineage: Eukaryota; Viridiplantae; Streptophyta; Magnoliopsida; Fabales; Fabaceae.